RNAcentral lists this ribosomal RNA (496 nucleotides) under uncultured bacterium. RNAcentral's name for it is "partial 16S ribosomal RNA". It matches the Rfam family "Bacterial small subunit ribosomal RNA", at positions 29 to 507 of the family's 1533-position model. The record is from RNAcentral.
AUGAACGCUAGCGGCGUGCCUAAUACAUGCAAGUCGAGCGAACAGACGAGGAGCUUGCUCCUCUGACGUUAGCGGCGGACGGGUGAGUAACCCGUGGAUAACCUACCUAUAAGACUGGGAUAACUUCGGGAAACCGGAGCUAAUACCGGAUAAUAUAUUUAACCGCAUGGUUCAAUAGUUAAAGACGGUUUUGCUGUCACUUAUAGAUGGAUCCGCGCCGCAUUAGCUAGUUGGUAAGGUAACGGCUUACCAAGGCAACGAUGUGUAGCCGACCUGAGAGGGGGAUCGGCCACACUGGAACUGAGACACGGUCCAGACUCCUACGGGAGGCAGCAGUAGGGAAUAGUCCGCAAUGGGCGAAAGCCUGACGGAGCAACGCCGCGUGAGUGAUGAAGGUCUUCGGAUCGUAAAACUCUGUUAUUAGGGAAGAACAAAUGUGUAAGUAACUAUGCACGUCUUGACGGUACCUAAUCAGAAAGCCACGGCUAACUACGUG